GUGAGUGACAACAUGAGGCUCAAUAAACUGUACCUUUUAUUCUUUAACCAAGAGAGUGCAAUGAGAGUAAUAAAAAAGUUCUCAGCGUUGCAGAGAGCACAUAAAAGUGGGCUGCAGUAUUGAUUCCACCAGAAUCAAUCUGGAUCUUGAUCCAGACCAGGAUCAAGAUCAAGGAUAGACCUGGGUACUCAGGACUCCUCCAGCACUCCUCCUGCUAGCUGUCAUUGUUCUGGGCACAUUUGCUGAUUCCUCUGAGGAUUAAGAGUUGGAUGUCAGUGUAUUCAGACACAUUCUGACUUUAUUCCUCACCAAUUCAUUAAAAAUGAUCAGUUGAUACAUAAGGAUCCUUUCUGCAGAAGAAAAGAAGUCAAACCACACUGAAAGAUGGGAAAAUAAUUUCUUCGGAUCCCUGCAUAUGUGCAUCUGAACAUGGGAGAGAGAAAAAUAAAGAGGGGCAGACAGAAAAUAAAACACAUCUCCUCAGAAGAAACAAACUGUUAGUCUUUAGAGUGGUGAUAUGUAUAUAUUGAAAGAGAACUAGACAAAAAGUUCAGACGUUUGGGCUCUAUGAUUCUGAGCAAGCAUCUGAGCUUCUUUAUACUCAGUUGUAAAUGUUAAAACAUGGGAAAAUGAAACAAAACAUCUCCUCCUUGACAAAACUGUCAAGAGGAGAUAAUAAAAUUGAAAGUGCUUUGAACAUAAACAUGAAAAAUCAGAGUGUUGUUCUUAUUAAAACUAUGAGAUCACUUCUUAAUUAGUACUUAGAAAAGCAAGUUUUGUGGAACCUGUUCACAUUGCCCUAUCCAUAACUACAUAUGCACCAAACCACUAAAUUAUCUGUAGCAGGUGCCAAGUUUUACUGCUGUAGAUCAUAGCAAAAAUGAUAAUAGUUAUUAAGCUGUAUACUAACAAGUACCUCUGAGAUUGAGCUCUGUGAAAAAAAAAAAUCCAUCUCAGGACAACAAGUUCAAGACCAAGUACUUUAGCACAUAAAAUUCCAAAUUUCUGGGGAAAGGGAUCCAGUUAGCACAGUUUGAGUCAUGCACUCACUCAUGGUCUACCCCUCUGUGGGCAGGAAAUGAGAAACACACCACAGAGACAUGGCUGCCAGAAGUCCUCCCAGGGUGAGGCAGGCGAUUCUUGGAGUAACAGACAGACAUCUCAGUGGGACCUCCCUACCACUCAGAGAGCAUUCUUCUUAAAUCUGAGGGAAGAGUAAAUAACUGUGGGUACUUUUGGUUUCAGAAGGAUUUUUUUCAGGGGUAAAGGGGGAGUGAUAAAAAUAACCUGAAAACCUUUAAAUUACAAGUCACCUAAAACACUGACUAUGGAAACAAUUCUUUUAAAUGAAUAGCUUAGCUCUCUAGAAAGUAGUAAAAACCCCCAGGACCUCAAAAAAGAGCAAUCAGAAAAUAGGACAAGAAAUUUCAUAGGUUAGUGCCAUGGAUUGUGCAGAGUAAGGCUUGAAGAUGGUUGCUCCAUCAGUAACCUAGAUGUUGACAUUUUUAUCUCACGUUAGAACAGAAGACAUGGCUGUGGAUCCUUGUAAGACAGAGAGUUGUAACAAAGGUCCUUGUAUAAAAUCAGAACCCUCAAUAGAAAUAAAUCUACUAAAAACACUGAUUUACAAUAAGGAGGCAUGUUUGUCUUAACAUGAACAACAGGUUGAAGAAAAAACAAUUUCUUGAGAAAUUAUUUGGGAUUCUGUUAUAACACCUGUUUGGGCUUGGAACCCCUUGGUACCAUAGAAGGAGGCCCAGAUCAAUACCUGGCAGAAAUGAAACUAAAACUGCGCUAAUCAGAUAUAUCUUCAAUAGGCACCACACAGAAGUCUGAAAGAUAAAGCCACACUGAAGAUGGGUUAAUAGUCCAAAUUCAUAAAACUCUGGAGAAACCAUCCACCCUAAACAGGAGUUAAAACUUGGAAUGAACAGCACUCCUAAAUUGAAAGCGUUAAAAUCAACAAAGAAGACCAUUAUAAACAUGUUUCAAAUCAUUAGACAUCAAAGAAGGACUUGAAAUAUAAGAAUAAAAUAAGAUACUAGGAAGUUAAACAGAUUUGGAAGGCGGAUGGGGAAAAUCUAAAACAGAUAAUAGAAAAAAAAAAGAAUAGCAAAUUUGAAAAAAAAAGGCGCUUCUAGAAAUAGAAACACAACGAUACAAUGUGAAAUUUCAUAGGGUGGCUUAAGCAGUAUAUUUGACUCAUCUAAAGACAAAAUUAUUUUGGAAGAUCUGAGGAAAUUACUAUGCAGCAGAGAUAAAAAUAUAGAAUAUAUUAUACAAUAGGAGGUUAAGAAGCUUUAAAAAUAGUAUGAGAAUAUCUAACUUAUUUCUGAAAGAAAUUCUAGACCACAGGGAGAGGGAGAAUAGGUAAAAAGUAAUAUUUGAAAGGAUAAUGAUUGAGAAUUUUGUAGGAUAGAUGAAACCCCCAUGUUCAAGAAGCCAAAUACAUUUUAAGCAGAACAGAAAAAUAAAACAUUCAGCUGCAAUGUACUGAAAGUACAAGAUCCAAAAGAUAAAGACCUGAUAAUGAAUAAUCAUGUUCUAGAAGGACAAUUAAAGAAAAGAUCAAACCAGAGCCAAGUCUCUGGAAAUAAUGUAUUUUCUCUAAAAUGGAACUGCUUUGGUUGAAUUAGUUUUAAAACAAUAUUAAAUUGCUGUGGUUUUUUAAUGCAACUCUGUAAUGAAGAAUCAAGGACACUAAGUUUGGCUUAUGUUAGUUAUGAUUAAAUGUCAUAUGGUUUCUAAGAGAUGCAGUGAACUACUAAUAAAAACAUCAGGAUUAAUGAUGUAUUUAUUGAUCAACUAAUUUUCAUAGUAAUUUUUUGCUUCCAUAUGUUUGUGGUUCAAAUCCUAUAUACCCAAUGAUUCAUACAUUUUACAUAUUUUCUAUGAUUUUUUUUCUUCAGGUUCAAAGUUUUUUUCAAAAAGUAAGCUGCUGGACACAUUGAGAAAAGUGGAUCAUUUGUAUUGCUCUCCACCCAUCCAUCUUAAUGUGAUAAUGUGGAGAAGUGCUAAAAAUUAAAAGUUAAAACAGGGUUUGGGGCAGACAGACCCUAGAUCUAGCAUUUACAAGUUAUGUGUUUUCAGGCAAAUAACAUUUCUGAAUCUGUUUUCUCCUAUAAAAUGUUAACAUUAAUGUCUACUUUAUUUGAAGUUUGUUGAGAAUAUUAAAAAAGCAAAUGCCUUCUACUGAUUUAUGCCCUACAAGUCAUAGCAAAUUACUUACAGUGUUUCUGAAAAUACUGUUCAACUUCUUGGCUUAAAGUUUUUGUUCAUACAGUUCCCUCUGUACAGAUCAAUUCCCUUUGCUCUGCCUCCUUACCCUUCACCUGACCUAACAUUUAAAGGAUCUGAGGUCUGAAGAAUGACUUUAGUUUGUGUGUCAUCAACUCCAGCUUCCCACACCCCUUAAGUGCGGGUUAUCUGUUCCUCUUCAUCUACAUAAGCUGCCAAAAUUUCAGUUGUUUCACAUUUAACUUCAUUUCAUGGAGGAAGCUUUUGAAUCAAAUCAAAUGUAAAUGACUUUCCAAAGAUUAUAAAACUAGUUAGUGACAGAGCCAAGGCAUGAAGCCAGGAAUCCUCAUUUUUAUCUUAAAUUACCUCUGCUGCUUAUACUUCAGUUAGCAGGGCUAGCCCCACCCUGGUUACGCCCAAGCUCUGUGGGGUGCUGAAACAUAAAAUCUUCAGAAGGAUACCCUCUGUGUAUUUCUGCGUGAGGUGCAUUUCUUCCCCAUGACACAGUGAUUAAUUCAUCAGGCCUUCUAAGACAUCCUGACUGCUGCUCCUUGCCAGCUCUGCUAUCCUUUCACUGGAUUAUCAGGAUCAAGAUACUGGGAGAAUGAAGUCUUCUCUUUGCCAAAACUCUGACCUGGGCAUCUCUUCCAACUUUCCUACUCGAUGUGGACCAGAACAUUCUUGUCCAGCAUUACUAAACCCUUGCUGGAUAUGAUUGUCUAGUCUGAUGUUAAAUUCACAAGUCUAUUUGGCUUUCUCACCAAGCCAUAUCUUCUGUGGUGUUCCUUAAAAGCAAUAAACAUACAUUGGUGUAGAUAUGCUCUUCCUUUGCUUUUUUCUUAAUUUUUCAGGAUAAUAGAGUAGGUGUCCAUUCAUACUUUUAGCAGGAAUUGUGAAAUUUUUAAUGAAAGUUGGACCUUAUCAAAUACUUUUGCAACAUCGACUAGAGAUAAUUUAAUUAUCUCUCUUUUUUUGUUUUGUUACUCUUUUCACAAAUAGACACCAAUGUGGGGCUUAAUAAAUCAUUUUUGCAUUAAAUUAUAAUUAAAUGUUUAAAUGUUUAUGAGUAAAUGGAGUUAUCAUAAAAAGUAAUAGUAGUGUUUACUCUUCUUACUAUAUAUUUUCAGAUACGAUUGUUAAAAGUAAGUCCUUUUUAAAUCAUAUUAAUUAAAGCUACCAGUGAGGAACAUCAGUGGGGGUGUGGCUCCUAUUCAGGUUUUAGCUGUUAAAAAUAUUUUCCAUUACCACCAAAUAUAGAAUCAGAAAAUGUCUUGAGAAAGCAAUCAACAUAUCGUAGAUCACUGUAUAGAAAACAUAAGUUAUAGUUUCCAGGGUGUAUAAGAACAUCAUGGAGCAUGAAGAUGUUACCAACUAAAUGUAUAUGAAUAUACAAUUUUAAAUAUUUAUAUUUGAUGAAAGAGUAGAUUCAGAUUAAUGCCCUAAUGUUUUUAUGUACUAAACAUAACCUUACGGAUUUAUUUUCCAAAGACUAACAUAAAAAUUAAAUAUGCAUUUAAAAUGAUUUUUAAUGCAGCAUCAUAAGGCAAUGACCUGAAAGUGGGAGCAAGAAGACAUAGCUUUGAAGAGUUAUACAAAUGUGACAAUUCUGAAAAUAAGUUGAGGUGUUUAAAAGUAUAGAUGCUAGAGAUGGAUAAAUCUAUAUAUGAAUGUCAGCUUUAGAACAUAUUAGCUGUGUGACUUUGGAAAUAUUACUUAACCUCUGUGAGCCUCAGUUUCCUUGUCUGCAAAAGGAAAAGAAAAAUAGAAAGCACCAUACCACCAUCAAGUUUGCUGUAAGAGAUACAUGUAAAGUGUUAACAUAGAUACCUGGAAUAUAACAAAUUUUC
This 5084-nucleotide long non-coding RNA is filed under the name Homo sapiens (human). RNAcentral describes it as "HSALNT0073646". The record is from RNAcentral. Lineage: Eukaryota; Metazoa; Chordata; Mammalia; Primates; Hominidae.